Molecule: transfer RNA, 73 nt
Filed under: Herbidospora solisilvae
Lineage: Bacteria; Bacillati; Actinomycetota; Actinomycetes; Streptosporangiales; Streptosporangiaceae
Description: Herbidospora sp. NEAU-GS84 tRNA-Glu
Rfam family: tRNA
About the family: Transfer RNA (tRNA) molecules are approximately 80 nucleotides in length. Their secondary structure includes four short double-helical elements and three loops (D, anti-codon, and T loops). Further hydrogen bonds mediate the characteristic L-shaped molecular structure. tRNAs have two regions of fundamental functional importance: the anti-codon, which is responsible for specific mRNA codon recognition, and the 3' end, to which the tRNAs corresponding amino acid is attached (by aminoacyl-tRNA synthetases). tRNAs cope with the degeneracy of the genetic code in two manners: having more than one tRNA (with a specific anti-codon) for a particular amino acid; and 'wobble' base-pairing, i.e. permitting non-standard base-pairing at the 3rd anti-codon position.
Source: RNAcentral
GGCCCGUUGGUCUAGUGGUUAGGACGCCUGACUCUCACUCAGGAGAUCACCGGUUCGAAUCCGGUACGGGUCA